This 497-nucleotide ribosomal RNA is filed under the name uncultured bacterium. Its description in RNAcentral is "partial 16S ribosomal RNA". It matches the Rfam family "Bacterial small subunit ribosomal RNA", at positions 28 to 507 of the family's 1533-position model. The record is from RNAcentral.
GAUGAACGCUGGCGGCGUGCCUAAUACAUGCAAGUCGAGCGGACAGACGAGGAGCUUGCUCCUCUGACGUUAGCGGCGGACGGGUGAGUAACACGUGGAUAACCUACCUAUAAGACUGGGAUAACUUCGGGAAACCGGAGCUAAUACCGGAUAAUAUAUUGAACCGCAUGGUUCAAUAGUGAAAGACGGUUUUGCUGUCACUUAUAGAUGGAUCCGCGCCGCAUUAGCUAGUUGGUAAGGUAACGGCUUACCAAGGCAACGAUGCGUAGCCGACCUGAAAGGGUGAUCGGCCACCCUGGAACUGAGACACGGUCCAGACUCCUACGGGAGGCAGCAGUAGGGAAUCUUCCGCAAUGGGCGAAAGCCUGACGGAGCAACGCCGCGUGAGUGAUGAAGGUCUUCGGAUCGUAAAACUCUGUUAUUAGGGAAGAACAAAUGUGUAAGUAACUAUGCACGUCUUGACGGUACCUAAUCAGAAAGCCACGGCUAACUACGUG